Molecule: long non-coding RNA, 2081 nt
Organism: Monomorium pharaonis (pharaoh ant)
Lineage: Eukaryota; Metazoa; Arthropoda; Insecta; Hymenoptera; Formicidae
Exons: 2
Source: RefSeq, a predicted model, not a curated record
UAUUUUCUUUGUUUUUAGAAAUAAAUCUUUUUCAAGAAUAGUCAAGAUUGACUUUUUAUUUUGCAACUGUUUAAAUAUUGUUGCAUUAACAAUAAUUCGUAGCCGUUUUAUUUUUGAAAUAAAAUUGAAAUAAUAUAUAAUAUUGUUCAAGAAAAAAGUCCUUUUUUUCUCCAAAAUAUGGUACUACAGAAGAUUUUUUCACACUAAACACACUGCUGUUGCCAGAAUUUGUAUCACAUUAGGAUAUUAAGUAAAUUAGACGAAAUAUAUAAAAUAUAAUUUUAAUUAUUUACAACAUUUUUUUACAGUAAAAAACUUGUUUUCAAAUGCCAAGUCAACAGCAUCUAAAAAUAUUUAAAAGCUUUCAAGUAAAUUUUACAAAAACAUCUCCAAACCUGCACUUUAACAGAGUGUGUUACUGUGCGCUGAAGAAUCUUAUUGUGCUUCAUUAAUCGAUAAAGGAGACCAUGCCAAGAAAGACGAUUUGUUUGUGAAGCGACUUCUAAUAUCAUUUAAAGCAACAUUAAAUCCUUUCUGGGGGAGUCUCGAUUGGAAUUGACGCAAGGUAAAAUUAAGAUUGUUUUGAAAGAGAAGCAAGAUCGCUUUAUUCUCCUUCCGUAUUUCUGGCAGGUUCUUCACAUUUAGGCCAAUCAAAUUAGUUUAAAACACUUCGGAAAAAUUCCUCUUGCAGUGGACUUAAAAUGUUCUUUGGCGUGUAAAUAAUUAUGAUAGAAAUGUUUACCUUAUUAUAGUUUCUUCUAGACAACAUCGUUUAUUUAACAAUUAAAACAAAAAAAUCGAUUUUUUCGAAUAACUUUUAAAAUGUAAACUUUUAUAAAAAAAGUAACUGCGCCUUUCUUGUUGAACAGACUAUAGCUUGUGAUAACACCAAAACAAGAUCGAUACAAUUAUAUGUGUUUUGUAUAAUUAGACUAUAGACAAUAAUGAUACUAAUGGAUUAGGCAGUACGUAUGUGUAGUAUAUAGCAAAUAGCAUUUAACAUAUGAUUCAACAUUACAUCUUUUAAAUUAAAAAAAUGUUAAUUAAAAAUUAACACUAAAUUUUUUAAAGAAAAAAUUAUGAAUAUUAUCGAAAUUAUGAAUAUUACUGAUAUAUAGACUUAAAAGUCUUCUUCCCACUUACAAAUUAUUAUACCUUGGACAUUUUAGAAUUUUCGUUGGACGUAUUAGAAUUUUCUUUUCAAAAUGUUAGAAAAAAUUUCUUAAUAAGAAAUCUCGCGCCAGUUUAGAAACACUGUAAAUACAUUAUCAUUUUAUUAUAUAUACAUAUUAAAUAUAUACACACAAAAUUUUUUCCGCAAUCAAUUAUUUACAGUUUUUUCUUUUUUUUGGGAAAGGGAGAAUUUUAAAGAUGCUUUUGAACAUCAAUAUUUAGCUAAUAUCUGCAUUUCAAGACUGACAAAAUUGUUGACGCGCAGUUUGUACGAACUAAGAAUAUUAAAUUAAUAGAAAAAUUAUAUUUAGCGCAAGAUUCGCUGUAGAUCGAAAUAGGCGAUUUUAACUUUUUCUUUAUGUUCAAAACAAUUUUAACUUUAUGUUCCACAUUUAUAUAUAAUUUUUAAUUUGUAUGAAACUUCGUAAAAUUCGUAAAAAAUUUAGAACGUUGAGACUAUUAUUUAAGAUUCAUCGUAUGUGUGUAUACGUGUGUGCGUGCAUAUGUGCGCCUGUGCGUUAAAAUUCAAACAACUGUAAGUGAUGAAAAAAUUUAGAGAAGCGUUAGGUAAAUUUGAAAUCGGAUUCCUGGUUCCACAGGCUCUCUCAUCGCUACAGCAUAUUGUUUCAACUGCUCUUAUUUUGUUCACUUUUAAGUCGCUAAUUGAUUAAAACCUUACGACUCUGUUAUUAACCGACAAGAGUCUUCCGAAUCCAAAUAUCUUACACAGUCAUAAUUUAAGAAAAAUAAGUUAUACGAUUAUAAACUAAAAUUUAUUUCAAAGCUUUGAAUUAUAUUUUUAAAAUGCUAUUGAUUUUUUUUUUAAAUCAGGUUUUCUGUCAUAAGAAAUCUUCAGAGUAUGUACUACUGGGCACUACAGGCAUUUAGUGUUAAAUAAAAAAAAAAAA